This 246-nucleotide ribosomal RNA is filed under the name uncultured bacterium. RNAcentral describes it as "partial 16S ribosomal RNA". It matches the Rfam family "Bacterial small subunit ribosomal RNA", at positions 527 to 772 of the family's 1533-position model. The record is from RNAcentral.
GUAGGGGGCAAGCGUUAUCCGGAUUUACUGGGUGUAAAGGGAGCGUAGACGGUGCGUCAAGUCUGAAGUGAAAGCCCGGGGCUUAACCCCGGGCCUGCUUUGGAAACUGGCGCGCUAGAGUGCUGGAGAGGUGAGUGGAAUUCCUAGUGUAGCGGUGAAAUGCGUAGAUAUUAGGAGGAACACCAGUGGCGAAGGCGGCUUACUGGACAGUAACUGACGUUGAGGCUCGAAAGCGUGGGGAGCAAA